GACGAACGCUGUCGGCGUGCUUAACACAUGCAAGUCGAACGGAAAGGCCCUGCUUUUGUGGGGUGCUCGAGUGGCGAACGGGUGAGUAACACGUGAGUAACCUGCCCUUGACUUUGGGAUAACUUCAGGAAACUGGGGCUAAUACCGGAUAGGAGCUCCUGCUGCAUGGUGGGGGUUGGAAAGUUUCGGCGGUUGGGGAUGGACUCGCGGCUUAUCAGCUUGUUGGUGGGGUAGUGGCUUACCAAGGCUUUGACGGGUAGCCGGCCUGAGAGGGUGACCGGCCACAUUGGGACUGAGAUACGGCCCAGACUCCUACGGGAGGCAGCAGUGGGGAAUGUUACACAAUGGGCGGAAGCCUGAUGCAGCAACGCCGCGUGCGGGAUGACGGCCUUCGGGUUGUAAACCGCUUUCGCCUGUGACGAAGCGUGAGUGACGGUAAUGGGUAAAGAAGCACCGGCUAACUACGUGCCAGCAGCCGCGGUGAUACGUAGGGUGCGAGCGUUGUCCGGAUUUAUUGGGCGUAAAGGGCUCGUAGGUGGUUGAUCGCGUCGGAAGUGUAAUCUUGGGGCUUAACCCUGAGCGUGCUUUCGAUACGGGUUGACUUGAGGAAGGUAGGGGAGAAUGGAAUUCCUGGUGGAGCGGUGGAAUGCGCAGAUAUCAGGAGGAACACCAGUGGCGAAGGCGGUUCUCUGGGCCUUUCCUGACGCUGAGGAGCGAAAGCGUGGGGAGCGAACAGGCUUAGAUACCCUGGUAGUCCACGCUGUAAACGGUGGGUACUAGGUGUGGGGUCCAUUCCACGGGUUCCGUGCCGUAGCUAACGCUUUAAGUACCCCGCCUGGGGAGUACGGCCGCAAGGCUAAAACUCAAAGGAAUUGACGGGGCCCCGCACAAGCGGCGGAGCAUGCGGAUUAAUUCGAUGCAACGCGUAGAACCUUACCUGGGUUUGACAUGGAUCGGGAGUGCUCAGAGAUGGGUGUGCCUCUUUUGGGGUCGGUUCACAGGUGGUGCAUGCCUGUCGUCAGCUCGUGUCGUGAGAUGUUGGGUUAAGUCCCGCAACGAGCGCAACCCUUGUUCACUGUUGCCAGCACGUUAUGGUGGGGACUCAGUGGAGACCGCCGGGGUCAACUCGGAGGAAGGUGGGGAUGACGUCAAGUCCUCAUGCCCCUUAUGUCCAGGGCUUCACGCAUGCUACAAUGGCUGGUACAGAGAGUGGCGAGCCUGUGAGGGUGAGCGAAUCUCGGAAAGCCGGUCUCAGUUCGGAUUGGGGUCUGCAACUCGACCUCAUGAAGUCGGAGUCGCUAGUAAUCGCAGAUCAGCAACGCUGCGGUGAAUACGUUCCCGGG
Molecule: ribosomal RNA, 1343 nt
Filed under: uncultured bacterium
Lineage: Bacteria
Description: 16S ribosomal RNA
Rfam family: Bacterial small subunit ribosomal RNA
Source: RNAcentral